RNAcentral lists this long non-coding RNA (358 nucleotides) under Trifolium pratense (red clover). Its description in RNAcentral is "long non-coding RNA (TPRA_LNC009855)". Lineage: Eukaryota; Viridiplantae; Streptophyta; Magnoliopsida; Fabales; Fabaceae. The record is from RNAcentral.
AGGAAUGGGGUGCAAAGAAUGAACAGAACAAUAAGGCCCAGUCCAGAAUAGGCCUCUUUACCAAACCAAAAACAAAAAAACGCAGGAUCAAUCAUGACCGUCUGAUGGAUCAGACGGCUCUGAUCUAAAAGUAAAAAGAUAAGAUCUAAGCCAUGUGAUUGAAAUCAGAGCCUGAGAGGAGAAGGUGUAUGGUGUGCUGCAAUGGACAUGCGCACACCGGAUCGGGUUGGGGUAUAAAUACCCUCAAACCCUAAAAAAAAUUCAUAAAACUCUCUUCCUUCUUUUCUAUUCUCUGCUAGGGCUCAUCCUCUCCGAUUGAAGAUUCAUCGGUAGCCGCCGUGAGCCACCGCGUCGGANN